UACGGAGGAUCCAAGCGUUAUCCGGAAUUACUGGGCGUAAAGAGUUGCGUAGGCGGCAUAGUAAGCGAGUAGUGAAAUGACGAGGCUCAACCUCGUGUCCAUUACUUGAACUGCUAAGCUAGAGAAUGAGAGAGGUCGCUGGAAUUUCUUGUGUAGGAGUGAAAUCCGUAGAUAUAAGAAGGAACACCGAUGGCGUAGGCAGGCGACUGGCUCAUUUCUGACGCUCAGGCACGAAAGCGUGGGGAGCGACCGGG
Molecule: ribosomal RNA, 254 nt
Filed under: uncultured prokaryote
Description: partial 16S ribosomal RNA
Rfam family: Bacterial small subunit ribosomal RNA
Source: RNAcentral